RNAcentral lists this ribosomal RNA (348 nucleotides) under uncultured eukaryote. RNAcentral's name for it is "SSU rRNA". It matches the Rfam family "Eukaryotic small subunit ribosomal RNA", at positions 594 to 945 of the family's 1831-position model. The record is from RNAcentral.
AUAGCGUAUAUUAAAGUUGUUGCAGUUAAAAAGCUCGUAGUUGAAUUUCGGAAUCAAUGGAUCGGUCAUGCCACUCGGUGUGUACUGGUUUGAUUGGUUCUCACCUUCUAAGGAACCGUGAUGUCAUUAAUUUGGUGUCGCGGGGAAUUAGGACUGUUACUUUGAAAAAAUUAGAGUGUUUAAAGCAAGCUCACGCUUGAAUACAUUAGCAUGGAAUAAUGAAAUAGGACAUUGUAUUCUAUUUUGUUGGUUUCUAGGAUCGAUGUAAUGAUUAAUAGGGAUAGUUGGGGGCAUUAGUAUUCAAUUGUCAGAGGUGAAAUUCUUGGAUUUAUUGAAGACUAACUACUG